Podarcis lilfordi (Lilford's wall lizard) is the source of this 74-nucleotide non-coding RNA. The record is from the annotation of a GenBank genome assembly. NCBI's taxonomy places the organism in Eukaryota, Metazoa, Chordata, Lepidosauria, Squamata, Lacertidae.
GGAGGGCCAUAGCUCAGUGGUAGAGCAUUUGUCUUGCACAUAGAAGGUUCCAGGUUUCAUCCCUGGCAGCUCCA